Long non-coding RNA from Neofelis nebulosa (Clouded leopard), 2654 nucleotides. RefSeq lists it as uncharacterized. The record is from RefSeq and is a predicted model, not a curated record. Lineage: Eukaryota; Metazoa; Chordata; Mammalia; Carnivora; Felidae. The transcript has 5 exons.
GGAGACCGGAGUGGGUCCAGGCUGAGCUGUGGGAUAAGGAGUGGGGGGGAAUCCCAAGCCCGGACAUUCCUUCCGAGAGAGUGAGCUCUGGAGAGAGAUGGGAGGAGAGUCCUCUCACAUUUCCCUCUUCCCUUCCCCCGCAGGCUGGGCCCACACGCCGCCCGCCCCCGACCCAUACAUUCCCGGACGGUUACUUGCCUCGUGGUCACUAGAAAAUCGACCCCAUUUCAAGCUGAAGGGCCACCAGUCUGAUAUUUACUUAGCACCUACUACGUGCCCAGCCCUGUGGAUACAGAGAUGAACAAAGCCUAAUUCCUGCUCACAAAAGACUUUCUGACUAGUGAUGCGACUACCCUGUUUAUGAAGAGAGAAAAACUGAGUGCCAGGGAAGGAGCAGACAGGCUCAGGAUCACACAGCUUGAGCAAAGUGCAAACCAGAAUGAGAGGAAGAGAGAGGGAGAGACAGAGAAUGAGAGGGAGAGGAGGUGGUUCUCUUCCCAAUUUGACCCACUCCAUGGGACCCCUGCCUUGAGGACAGAGGGACUGCCCUGGUCUGAAGUAAUUUCCUCUACAAAUUUCAAGUAAAUCCUUGAAAUGGAGCAAAGUCCACUACAAUGCAAAACUUGUCUCUGUUCUGCGUGUGGAGCCCAUCUCAAAUAAAGGUGGGCGAAGCUCUUAUCUCUGGGCGGUAAGUGACUGUCUCGUGUUCCUCUGGAGCUUUCUCAGGUUGGUCUGCCGCAUGUAGUAAGGUUUCACAAUCUUUACUUUUGUGCUUUUUGUAAUAGUAUGGACCCACUGAAAAUGAUUGCUUUUUCAUUGAUCCUGAAGUCACAUAACUCCACAUUUUACACAAUUUAAAGUUUGGACUUGGCUCGUUGCCUUAUGAUGGAGUUUUCUACAUUAAGCCCCUAUUUUGUCACGGCACCGGGUUAGGUUUAUGGAAAUGAACAGAACUGACAGGGUCUCUGUUCUCAUGGAACUUGCAAGCUUGCUUUCUUAAUGGAGGAAAUGGACAAUAAGCCAAUAAGAUGUCUGCACACUGGAAUGAGGGCUGUGAAGAAAUCAAAGGACUGAAGUAGAAAAUAGGAGGUCCCACCUGAGGUGGUCAGGAGGCGGCUCUAAAGAGGUGACAUUUGCAUUGAGGAAGAUGAGGUGGAGAGAACUGGAGGGAAAGCAUUCUAGAUGUCAGGAACAGCAUAUGCAAAGGCCCUGCAGCAGGACUAGAAGAGACUUAGUUUUAAGCUGAGUGUGGAUCUAGGAGUCCCAGAGCAACCUGAACAAGAGAAAACUGGGAAAGAUGGAAGCCCCAGAGCCAGUGCUCAAGGGCGAGGCCUAGGCCACAAGUUCAGAUUUGCUGCGGGUCAAAUCAUUAUAGACUAUCCUAGUCUGGGGGCUGCGGGGGUCCAUGCCAUAGGAUGGGGAUGGCUCAAGGCAAUGACAACUCAUUGGAAAUUGUGGAAAUCCCUUCUGAAUUUCAGAGACAGUAUAUGGGCUGCAGGAUCCUGAUGGCUGGGAAUAGGUGAGCUUAAGCACCCUUUUUCUUCCUCCUUAAAAUAUGUGAGGUCUGGCCUGGGCCCCUUUUCCUUUAUUUAGCCAUGGUUGACUGAGGCCUCCUUUGUGCCAAGCACUGUACUGGGCACUGGGGAUAUUGCAGUGAACAAAACAGAUAAACCCCUUCCCUCAAGGAGCUUGUAUCUCAGUGGGGGACACAAACACAAAACAAAAGACCCUUACCCCAAACAAACUCAGUGUUUUGGGAGAGGACUAGGUGGGGAGAUCUCCCUUCCUGAGUUGGAGCCCUAAGACUUUGGCUCCUCCAUUAGUCCUUUUUCUAGGGGAUUCUACUCUGAGACCAGAGUGCCUUGGCCCUUAGGUCCUCUUUCCUGUUGGUGAGAAUUUAAAGAGAAACACACACACACACACACACACCCCUCCCCUUUUAGGGGCUGUUAAAGGCCCACACACAGACAUAGGAACACCCAAAUGCACAUACUUCUCUAAUCUCCCUAAUCCCCCAAGGCUGGGGUGGUGGUUGUAGUGGUUCUCUGUUUCUCUAUUUAGCUCAGGAGAAGCCAGGCUAUGGGCCUGGCUUAGCCCCCGCACCCCCCUUCCCCUGGGCCGGUGCCUGGGUCCCAGUCAUUCCCACACCUGGCCUGGGAGGUAAAUGAAUGUACUGAGCAAACAUCCUUGCAGCUUCCUGCUGCUCCCCUCUGAGACAACAGCACUCCUCCUUCUCUUCCUUCUCCCCACACCCUCCCAGUUGCGGCAUCUCUGGGAUCCAGAGCCAUUUCCCUCUAGAGAAACCAGAGUCAUCCCUUUUCCUUAGCCAGAAGAAGAAGGCAAGAUGCACAUAGCCCUAGUGUCUCUAUCUGGAGACACAACUUGUUCUCUCUCUGGCCCUUUAUCUCAGCUUUCUGAGCACCAGACCCUCCCUCAUGCCUGCCCAGGGGGUGAAGGAUAUAGGAUACAGGGGAUGAGGGCUCUCCAGUGGCCACAUCAGGAACUGUGGGAGAGGUAGAGGGAGGAGAAGCCCCCCUCCCCCACAUCUGGUAGGAAGGGCAGCCCCUUUGGAGGGGUGUCUCUGAGAAUCACAUAGAUAAGCUGGGACCAGCAUAAAGGGAAAAAUAAAGUACCCCUGACCACCUCCAAGCACA